CGAAAGCCUGACGGAGCAACGCCGCGUGAGGGAUGAAGGCCUUUGGGCUGUAAACCUCUUUUCUCAAGGAAGAAGAUCUGACGGUACUUGAGGAAUAAGCCACGGCUAAUUCCGUGCCAGCAGCCGCGGUAAUACGGGAGUGGCAAGCGUUAUCCGGAAUUAUUGGGCGUAAAGCGUCCGCAGGCGGCCGUUUAAGUCUGUUGUUAAAUCGUGGAGCUCAACUCCAUCACGGCAAUGGAAACUGUUCGGCUUGAGUAUGGUAGGGGCAGAGGGAAUUUCCGGUGUAGCGGUGAAAUGCGUAGAUAUCGGGAAGAACACCAGUGGCGAAAGCGCUCUGCUGGACCAUUACUGACGCUCAUGGACGAAAGCCAGGGGAGCGAAAGGGAUUAGAUACCCCUGUAGUCCUGGCCGUAAACGAUGAACACUAGAUGUUGGGGGAAUCGACCCCCUCGGUGUCGUAGCUAACGCGUUAAGUGUUCCGCCUGGGGAGUACGCACGCAAGUGUGAAACUCAAAGGAAUUGACGGGGGCCCGCACAAGCGGUGGAGUAUGUGGUUUAAUUCGAUGCAACGCGAAGAACCUUACCAAGGCUUGACAUCCUGCGAAUCUCCGAGAAAUUGGAGAGUGCCUUCGGGAACGCAGUGACAGGUGGUGCAUGGCUGUCGUCAGCUCGUGUCGUGAGAUGUUGGGUUAAGUCCCGCAACGAGCGCAACCCACGUUUUUAGUUGCCAGCAUUCAGUUGGGCACUCUAGAAAGACUGCCGGUGACAACCGGAGGAAGGUGUGGACGACGUCAAGUCAUCAUGCCCCUUACGCCUUGGGCUACACACGUACUACAAUGCUGCGGACAAAGAGUAGCGAUCUUGCGAAAGUUAGCUAAUCUCGUAAACCGUGGCUCAGUUCAGAUCGUAGGCUGCAACUCGCCUACGUGAAGGAGGAAUCGCUAGUAAUCGCAGGUCAGCAUACUGCGGUGAAUACGUUCCCGGGCCUUGUACACACCGCCCGUCACACCAUGGAAGUUGGCCAUGCCCGAAGUCGUUACUCUAACCUUUUGGAAGAGGGCGCCGAAGGCAGGGCUGAUGACUGGGGUGAAGUCGUAACAAGGUAGCCGUAGCGGAAGCUGCGGCUGGAUCACCUCCUAA
This 1140-nucleotide ribosomal RNA is filed under the name Candidatus Synechococcus spongiarum. RNAcentral's name for it is "bacterial SSU rRNA". It matches the Rfam family "Bacterial small subunit ribosomal RNA", at positions 376 to 1533 of the family's 1533-position model. The record is from RNAcentral. Lineage: Bacteria; Bacillati; Cyanobacteriota; Cyanophyceae; Synechococcales; Synechococcaceae.